UACUGGAGUGGGUUGCCAUUUCCUUUGCCAGUUCAUGCAUACAUGCCAAGCCGCUUCUGUGAUGUCUGACUCUUUGUGACCCUAUGAACUGUAGCCCACCAGGCUGCUCUGUCCAUGGGAGUCUCCAGGCAAGAAUACUGGAGUGGGUUGCCAUGCCCUC
Molecule: long non-coding RNA, 160 nt
Organism: Cervus elaphus (red deer)
Lineage: Eukaryota; Metazoa; Chordata; Mammalia; Artiodactyla; Cervidae
Exons: 3
Source: RefSeq, a predicted model, not a curated record